RNAcentral lists this ribosomal RNA (2018 nucleotides) under Shigella sonnei. RNAcentral describes it as "partial 23S ribosomal RNA". It matches the Rfam family "Bacterial large subunit ribosomal RNA", at positions 921 to 2915 of the family's 2925-position model. The record is from RNAcentral. Lineage: Bacteria; Pseudomonadati; Pseudomonadota; Gammaproteobacteria; Enterobacterales; Enterobacteriaceae.
AGGGGGUCAUCCCGACUUACCGACCCGAUGCAAACUGCGAAUACCGGAGAAUGUUAUCACGGGAGACACACGGCGGGUGCUAACGUCCGUCGUGAAGAGGGAAACAACCCAGACCGCCAGCUAAGGUCCCAAAGUCAUGGUUAAGUGGGAAACGAUGUGGGAAGGCCCAGACAGCCAGGAUGUUGGCUUAGAAGCAGCCAUCAUUUAAAGAAAGCGUAAUAGCUCACUGGUCGAGUCGGCCUGCGCGGAAGAUGUAACGGGGCUAAACCAUGCACCGAAGCUGCGGCAGCGACGCUUAUGCGUUGUUGGGUAGGGGAGCGUUCUGUAAGCCUGCGAAGGUGUGCUGUGAGGCAUGCUGGAGGUAUCAGAAGUGCGAAUGCUGACAUAAGUAACGAUAAAGCGGGUGAAAAGCCCGCUCGCCGGAAGACCAAGGGUUCCUGUCCAACGUUAAUCGGGGCAGGGUGAGUCGACCCCUAAGGCGAGGCCGAAAGGCGUAGUCGAUGGGAAACAGGUUAAUAUUCCUGUACUUGGUGUUACUGCGAAGGGGGGACGGAGAAGGCUAUGUUGGCCGGGCGACGGUUGUCCCGGUUUAAGCGUGUAGGCUGGUUUUCCAGGCAAAUCCGGAAAAUCAAGGCUGAGGCGUGAUGACGAGGCACUACGGUGCUGAAGCAACAAAUGCCCUGCUUCCAGGAAAAGCCUCUAAGCAUCAGGUAACAUCAAAUCGUACCCCAAACCGACACAGGUGGUCAGGUAGAGAAUACCAAGGCGCUUGAGAGAACUCGGGUGAAGGAACUAGGCAAAAUGGUGCCGUAACUUCGGGAGAAGGCACGCUGAUAUGUAGGUGAAGUCCCUUGCGGAUGGAGCUGAAAUCAGUCGAAGAUACCAGCUGGCUGCAACUGUUUAUUAAAAACACAGCACUGUGCAAACACGAAAGUGGACGUAUACGGUGUGACGCCUGCCCGGUGCCGGAAGGUUAAUUGAUGGGGUCAGCGCAAGCGAAGCUCUUGAUCGAAGCCCCGGUAAACGGCGGCCGUAACUAUAACGGUCCUAAGGUAGCGAAAUUCCUUGUCGGGUAAGUUCCGACCUGCACGAAUGGCGUAAUGAUGGCCAGGCUGUCUCCACCCGAGACUCAGUGAAAUUGAACUCGCUGUGAAGAUGCAGUGUACCCGCGGCAAGACGGAAAGACCCCGUGAACCUUUACUAUAGCUUGACACUGAACAUUGAGCCUUGAUGUGUAGGAUAGGUGGGAGGCUUUGAAGUGUGGACGCCAGUCUGCAUGGAGCCGGCCUUGAAAUACCACCCUUUAAUGUUUGAUGUUCUAACGUGGACCCGUGAUCCGGGUUGCGGACAGUGUCUGGUGGGUAGUUUGACUGGGGCGGUCUCCUCCUAAAGAGUAACGGAGGAGCACGAAGGUUGGCUAAUCCUGGUCGGACAUCAGGAGGUUAGUGCAAUGGCAUAAGCCAGCUUGACUGCGAGCGUGACGGCGCGAGCAGGUGCGAAAGCAGGUCAUAGUGAUCCGGUGGUUCUGAAUGGAAGGGCCAUCGCUCAACGGAUAAAAGGUACUCCGGGGAUAACAGGCUGAUACCGCCCAAGAGUUCAUAUCGACGGCGGUGUUUGGCACCUCGAUGUCGGCUCAUCACAUCCUGGGGCUGAAGUAGGUCCCAAGGGUAUGGCUGUUCGCCAUUUAAAGUGGUACGCGAGCUGGGUUUAGAACGUCGUGAGACAGUUCGGUCCCUAUCUGCCGUGGGCGCUGGAGAACUGAGGGGGGCUGCUCCUAGUACGAGAGGACCGGAGUGGACGCAUCACUGGUGUUCGGGUUGUCAUGCCAAUGGCACUGCCCGGUAGCUAAAUGCGGAAGAGAUAAGUGCUGAAAGCAUCUAAGCACGAAACUUGCCCCGAGAUGAGUUCUCCCUGACCCUUUAAGGGUCCUGAAGGAACGUUGAAGACGACGACGUUGAUAGGCCGGGUGUGUAAGCGCAGCGAUGCGUUGAGCUAACCGGUACUAAUGAACCGUGAGG